Molecule: transfer RNA, 115 nt
Filed under: Aureimonas fodinaquatilis
Lineage: Bacteria; Pseudomonadati; Pseudomonadota; Alphaproteobacteria; Hyphomicrobiales; Aurantimonadaceae
Description: Aureimonas sp. CAU 1482 tRNA-OTHER
Source: RNAcentral
GGGGAGAAUUGGGGGAAUGAGGCCCUGAGAGCCUGAGAAAUAGGGAUUUUCUCUCCCCUGCUAAGGGAGUAUACCGGUGACGGUAUCGUGGGUUCGAAUCCCAUCCUCUCCGCCA